CAUCUUGGUUCAUGGUCUAUGUAGGCUGGCCUCUGAAUAUUAGGAUUUUCUGAGAUUGCCAACUUCGACGACAAAUCCGUUCGGACAUUCUCUGAUCUAGGUAUCUGCAAAAUCUCAAACUUAUUGAAAGAAAGGGUUAUUUCUUGUAUCUUCUAUAGAUAUAUGGAAGAUGCCUUUGCCUUGUAUUCCCCUCGAACUUGGCCAACCACC
Molecule: long non-coding RNA, 210 nt
Filed under: Elaeis guineensis (African oil palm)
Lineage: Eukaryota; Viridiplantae; Streptophyta; Magnoliopsida; Arecales; Arecaceae
Description: long non-coding RNA (EGUI_LNC008540)
Source: RNAcentral